AGAGGUACAGCUCAGCGGUAGAGUGCAUGCCUAGUAUGCACAAAGUCCUGGGUUCAAUCCCCAGUAUCUCCA
Molecule: transfer RNA, 72 nt
Filed under: Camelus bactrianus (Bactrian camel)
Lineage: Eukaryota; Metazoa; Chordata; Mammalia; Artiodactyla; Camelidae
Also listed under: 2 other names
Rfam family: tRNA
About the family: Transfer RNA (tRNA) molecules are approximately 80 nucleotides in length. Their secondary structure includes four short double-helical elements and three loops (D, anti-codon, and T loops).
Source: Rfam by way of RNAcentral